This 4878-nucleotide long non-coding RNA is filed under the name Nicotiana benthamiana. RNAcentral's name for it is "long non-coding RNA (NBEN_LNC037450)". The record is from RNAcentral. Lineage: Eukaryota; Viridiplantae; Streptophyta; Magnoliopsida; Solanales; Solanaceae.
CCAACCUAAAAUCUUCCCCCCAAAAUAUUACCUCACAUACCACCUUUCCUCAAAAUAAAACUCCCCACAUAAUACCCCACCCCACACCCUCUAUAUAAACAUUUUCUACACAACACAAAAAGAAAAAAAAAAUUCACACAAAAAAACUACACCAAAAAGGGGGCGGCUAAAGACAAAAAAAGAGGGGGAGUCGAUCAUCUUCUUCACAACAAAAAAUUCCAAAAAAAUUUCUUCAGCUCCAAAGAGAAAACGGUUGAAAUUGACACACAAAAAGGACGAAAACGAUACAAAGAAAAAAACACUACACAAAAGAGGAGAUGCAUGCUACAUUAUGAAGUUUGAUUGAGUUGUGAUUGUGUUCGAGUUCGAGCCAGGCAAUCCGGUCUGGGACUCGACGAGUUUCCAUCGAGGUUCGAUUUAAGAUCGUAGCUCUUUGUUUUGAUUUGAGAUUUGUUCGGUGUCUGUUAGUUCAAGUUCAGCUGUUUUUUAAUGUGAGGUUGUAAUGCUUGCUCGAUUUCUAUUUCGUGUAUCACUGAAUAUGUCAUCAAUCGAAAGUUCGAUUUGCAGUUUUCAUACUUGCUGAAGUUCUAUUAAUUGAAAAGCAAUUUUCGUUCUUAAAUUUUAUUUUUUCUGCUGGGAUUUGCUGAUUUGAAUCCAUUUUGGAGCUCGCUUGUGAGAUCUGUUCGGAAAUGGGUAUUGAAGUGUCGAGGUCGUCAAGUGAGCUUUGUUGACGUAGCCUUGUUCAACUGUGAUUGCUCGACGACACCAUUUAUACACUAACAAUGGUGGUGGCUCUAAAUCGGCAUGCUUCAAGUUGGGAAGAGAUGGCGCUUAUCACCUUCAUACCACAGGUACUGAUCCAGGCACGCUGAGUAAGCAGGUGACGCUUAAUCCUUGACAACGCUCUCUGUUUAGUACAUUUUCAAUACGUUAUUAUUGCAACUACUAUUGUUGUGCAAAAAACAAAAAAAAUCCAAUUGGUGACUUCUGGUGGCCUUAAAUGAAAAGAAGUUUCCACUUGGUAUUAAAGAAUUUUAGAAGUCAAUUCUCCUAGUGUUAGUUUGUUCAGGUUUAUUUACACAAUUCAUUAGUCUGUGCUUGCCUUUGAAAAUUAGUUCAUUUGUUGAUUUCUUUAAUGAGUCAUAGAUUGAUCAUUCGUUUGAAGUUUUUUUUGGUUUCGUAGUAUCGCUUGAGUGGUUCUGUGAAUUAGUUCUUGGGAUUAAAGACUCCAACUGCUUGAAACAAGAUAAUAGUUGGUUUGGUUUUAAAAGUUAAAUAAUCAUGAACAUCCAUGGUUUGUUUUAGUUGAAUAACCUAAAUUCGAGGCGUGCCAUUUAGCAAAUUACAUGGCCUUCGUAAAGUGCAAACGCAUAGUUGCUUUAGGCACGUAUUUAAUAAUAUUACCUUUCUUAAACUCGGGUGCGCAUUGAUGCGGCCCAAUUCCAAGUCUCGACGAAGUUGAAAUGUGUGGACGACCACGGGUUCCUUGAUAGCGACGGGGUUAGAAACGCGUUUUCAUGACGUCGUAAUUCUUAUAAAACAAAUAACGAUUGAAAAAUGGUUCAAAAUGGAGAUGAGCCUCACCGAACAAGAAUAAAUGUGGGGCCAUCAAUAAUUGCUUGUUAAAAAUAAUUAGAAUUUGGAAGGGUCGUUUAGUGAAUUUCAACGGCCUUUCCCAAAAUAAUAUUACGCUAGAACCUUUAAGUGCAAUUUAAUUAAAUUACUUUCUUAAACUCGGGUGCGCAUUGAUGCGAUCCAAAUUCAAAUCUCGACGAAGUCGAAACGUGUUGACGACCACGGGUGUCUUGAUGGCGACGUGGUCAGAGACGCGUUUUCAUGACGUCGCAAGUCUUUUAAAAUAAAUAAUGGUAAAAGCGGUAUACGAAUAAAAGGCACAUAAGCUAGCACGUAUUAAAAUCAGAUAAAAUCAAAUGCAACAGUUAAGCGACCGCGCUAGAACCACGGAACCCGGGAAAGCCUAACACCUUCUCCUGGGUUAACAGAAUUCCUUAUCCGGAUUUCUGGUUCGCGGACUGUUAACAGAGUCAUAAUCUUCCUCGGUUCGGGAUUCACACCGGUGACUUGGGACACCAUUAAUCUCUCAAGUGGCGACUCUGAAUAAUUAAUAACCAAAUCUUGUUCUGAUUGUUCUUUAAGUGGAAAAACUUCUUCACGCUCCUUGGGGGGUGUAUAGCGAAAAAGGAGGUGUGACAGGGUAAACAAGCUAAAAUAAUAUUCAUCAUAAAAAAUAGCAAUAAAAAUCAAAGAAAAGAAGAAAGAUGUUUUGGGUGAUCUCACAAUGGUUUUCGUUGCUAUGAAACUCUAAAAUUCAAUACAUGCCUCUCUUGGGCGAAGUCUAGUGUUUAAAAUAGGGUUUUGGGCUAAAAAUCUCGUGUUUUGCACUUUAGUCCCUGAAAUUUCCGCCUCCUGCCACGGUCGUGGUGGAACCGCGGCCAAACAUGUUCUCUGACAGUCUGUUUGUCUGCAACCCUCUUUCACCGCGGUUCUGUCGCGGUCGCAGUGGAAGCACGGCAGACCCAGUUUUCUGAUUCUUCAGGCCUGGUUUUGAGCUGCUUGCGUGGUUUACUUGACGGAAUUCUACGGUUGGCCUCUUUUUUCCCUCUUUUUAAUCCCAAAAGUACUCCAUAUCCUUCUUUGGUCAUACAACCUGCAAAGCAUGAAAUAUACUAAUAAGAGCAUUUUGGUAUCACUUUCAUCAUCAAAACUAUACAAGAAGGUGAUUAUUUAGGGCCCAAUUAUAAUUAAAUUCAACUAUUAUCAAUAUACCUAGCCAACCACCAGAAAUUUGAUAUUGAAGCGUAGCAAGUUUAUUGAUUGACCGUUGACGAGACACUUGGUAAUAAACAUGUAUUAGCACAAAUGCUUAUCCGCUCACUAGUUUAACUUUGAUGAAGAAUCUUGGUAAAAAGUUAAAAUAUCAUGGUAUAGCCAGUUUUCACGCCGGUUAAUGAAAAAGUAGCCAGCGUUUACCAAGUCAAUGAAAAAUAACUACUAUUUUGCUGCAACAGUAACCGGUCCAAUAUAAUAUACGGAAGUUUGGUUUAUUUGUGUACGAACUACAGCAUAUUAUGCUGGACCGGUAUUCUUUGCUAACUCCUGUAAAAUUUACUGGAGAGUGGAGCACCAGUGCUCCAAACUCUAGUAUAUUAUACUGGACAUUUAUACUUGCUAGAACUCCCGUAAAAUAUGCGAAAGUUUCAGCAUAAUUAUGCUUGAAUUCUCGUAAAAUUUGCGGGUGUUCCAGCAUAGUUAUCCUAGAACUCGUGUAAAUUUUGCGGGAGUUCAAGCAUACUUAUGUUGGAACUCCCGUAAAAUUUGAGGGCGUAUUUUCCGAAUUUUGAAUAGUAUUUUCACUCAGAUUUAUCUUUACAUAAAAAGUGUCUAAAUUUUGAUAACUUUUGAAACUUGGCUAUUUUUCAAUGACCAGUGGUAAAUCUGGCUAUUUUUAAAUUUCUCACUGGUAAAAAUUGCACGAGUCAUCCUAUUUGGGCGCCCCUUUUUAUCAUGUAGCCGCUUUCUCUUUUUGUUUGCAUCUGUAACCACUUUUUAAAAAACUUCAGCUUCCCUUUCUCCUCCCCUUCUCCUCCAAAAACUUAAGCUCUACAGCUGAAGUUUUCCAGUUACAACACAAAAACUUCAGCUCUACAGCUGAAGUUUUUAUUUUAUAACUGGAAAACUUAAACUCUAGAGCUUAAGUUUUUAUUUUAUAACUGGAAAACUUAAGCUGGAAACUGCUUAAGUUUUUAUUUUAUAACUGAAAAACUUAAGCUCUAGAGCUUUUUAUAACUGGAAAACUUAAACUCUAGAGCUUAAGUUUUUAUUUUAUAACUGGAAAACUUAAGCUCUAGAGCUUAAGUUCUUAUUUUAUAACUGAAAAACUUAAGCUCUAGAGCUUAAGUUUUUAUUUUAUAACUGGAGCUUAAGUUUUUAUUUUAUAACUGGAAAACUUAACCUCUAGAGCUUAAGUUUUUACUUUAUAACUGGAAAACUUAAGCUGUAGAGCUAAAGCUGAAGUUUUCCAAUACAAAAGAAAAACUUCAGCCUUGUGGGCUGAAAUUAUGUAAAAAAGCGGGUACGCAUGCAAUUUUUUUUAUAAAAAGGCACAAACUAAAAUAUGACUCAAAAAACGAGUAUAGAUACAAAUGCGUCAAAAAGGUAAAUAGUUAACCACAUCACAGUGUCUCAACAAAUCUAGCAAUUUUACCCUAGAAGCCAAAAAAUUAAAGUGAAAAUACAUCACCUAAUCAUCUUUAAGUGCAAAAUGCACGUGCGAAAAACACUUGCAUUCAUAAGUUUGGUGUGGUAUAAACACCUGUUUAGGUUAAUUUGUUCCAUAUUAAAUCACAUACUUCAAUCUUCUCUUUUCCAAUGAACUGACUUGUUCAUCUCAUCCAUUAAUUUUUUCCAUGUUAAAAUCAUAUAUUUCAAUUCUCUCUUUUCCAAUAAACUGAAUUGUUCAUCUCAUCCAAAUGCAUAUACAAACAAUUGUUUCAACACAGAUGAUAAACAAAAGUAAAACAAUGGAUAGCAAGAUCAUUUUUGUGACGCUGAUAUAUGGAAUAACUUCCACGCACAUCGACUAUUUUACCAGGUGCUAGCUAACUCUCACCAACACGCGUAUCAGAUAAAUCCUGGGACUAAUGCUAGGCAUUACAUGGAAAGAACCCGGAAUUAGCAAGAUCACAAGAGAUGGACUGGACAACAGCACCUUCAAUACUAUAGUUACCAAGUCAAAGUAUGCAUCCUGUAUAAGCAAGUCCAAGCAUAUCAAUGGAAGAACCCAAAAGUAAAUGCUGAUCGGGGUGGGCGAAUAGCACAAAUAGUCACUAAUGGCUAAUGUCUUUAUUUUAAAACCAG